RNAcentral lists this small nuclear RNA (131 nucleotides) under Pongo abelii (Sumatran orangutan). The stretch from base 1 to 71 matches the Rfam family "U4 spliceosomal RNA". From Rfam's summary of the family: U4 small nuclear RNA (U4 snRNA) is a component of the major U2-dependent spliceosome. The structure of U4 snRNA from yeast and human has been reported. The record is from RNAcentral. Lineage: Eukaryota; Metazoa; Chordata; Mammalia; Primates; Hominidae.
AGCUCUCUGCAGUGGCAGUAUCAUAGCCAAUGAGGUUUAUCCAAGGCGUGAUUAUUACUAAUUGAAAAUGAGCAGUGCAAGGCAGUGGACCUUGUGAGGAGUUGAGAUAUUUUCACACACCUGGCGACAGA